This is a long non-coding RNA of Saccostrea cuccullata (small rock oyster), 285 nucleotides long. RefSeq lists it as uncharacterized. The transcript is spliced from 3 exons. The record is from RefSeq and is a predicted model, not a curated record. Lineage: Eukaryota; Metazoa; Mollusca; Bivalvia; Ostreida; Ostreidae.
UGUGCUUCAACGUCACAAAUGUAAAUGAAGACAGGAAAUUUUCCCAUUGCAUUUGUCCCUCUAAUGUACGUAAAGUGUACAACUUUUCCUUGAUAAGGAGCAUAGAACAAAAGAAUUGCAAGUGCAAAGAGGUUAUAUGGCAGAUAGUUUCAAGUCUUCUUCUUUUAGCCAUAGUUGCUCUUACUUCAUAUGUUAUAUGGAUAAUUGUACAUUAUACAAGAAAUUGCAAAAAAGAGGCACUCAGAUCUGAAGAAGAUGUUGCAGAAUCUCAACCUUUACAAAGUA